Camelina sativa (false flax) is the source of this 368-nucleotide long non-coding RNA. RefSeq lists it as uncharacterized. The record is from RefSeq and is a predicted model, not a curated record. Lineage: Eukaryota; Viridiplantae; Streptophyta; Magnoliopsida; Brassicales; Brassicaceae.
UUAGGGUUUCGCUAUCAUAUAAAGAAGUAAUAAGACUAAAGGCAACAAAAUCCUUCUGAUUUGUCGGCCGCUCAAUCUUUUCGUGAAAUCUGCAUAGAAUCAGAAGAGUGAAGAAGAGUGUGAAGUCGCCAUGAGGGCUAAGUGGAAGAAGAAGCGUAUGAGGAGAUUAAAGCGGAAGAGACGAAAGAUGAGACAGCGAUCUAAGUAGAGAGUUUCUUCGAACAAGCCCUGCCCUGUCCUUUUUUCUGUUUUUUGUUUGAAUGCUUCGUUGAACCAAAUUGUUGAAUGUUAUGUUUUAUUACAUUGAAAAAAAUCACUUAACUUCUGAUCUAUGUUCUGCUCAAUGAUGAUUUUGAUAUGCUUUUUUC